RNAcentral lists this ribosomal RNA (1181 nucleotides) under uncultured organism. RNAcentral describes it as "bacterial SSU rRNA". It matches the Rfam family "Bacterial small subunit ribosomal RNA", at positions 196 to 1359 of the family's 1533-position model. The record is from RNAcentral.
AGGGAUGAAAGUUGCCUUUUGGUAACGUUCAAGGAUGGACCUGUGUCCCAUUAGCUAGUUGGUGAGGUAACGGCUCACCAUGGCAACGAUGGGUAGCCGGCCUGAGAGGGUGACCGGCCACACUGGGACUGAGAUACGUGCCAGACUCCUACGGGAGGCAGCAGUGAGGAAUAUUGCGCAAUGGCCGAAAGGCUGACGCAGCAACGCCGCGUGGGUGAUGACGCUCCAAGGAGUGUAAAGCCCUGUUAGGAGGGAAGAACGACAUUGGCGUGAGUAAUGUCAAUGCUUGACGGUACCUCCAGAGAAAGCCCCGGGUAACUCCGUGCCAGCAGCCGCGGUAAUACGGGGGGGGCACGCGUUGUCCGGAAUUAUUGCGGCGUACAGGGCGCGUAGGCGGAAUAAUAAGUCAGAGGUGAAAACCAUGGGCUUAACCAAUGGCUGGCCUUUGACACUGUAUCCUUGAGUGCGGCAGAGGGAAGUGGAAUCCCUGGUGUAGCGGUGAAAUGGUAGAUUUCAGGAGAACACCGGUACGAAAGGGGCAUCCUGGUCCGUAACUAGUGCUAGAGGGCUACAACGUGGGGAGCAAACAGGGUUAGAUACCCUGCUUGUCCACGCCUGAAAAGACUGUGCCCUAGGUUGUGGGUUACCGACAGGUGGAUCAGUGCCGAAGCUAACGCAUUAAGUUGCCCCGCCUGGGGAGUACGAUCGCAAGGUCGAAACUCAAAAGGAAUUGACGGGGGCCAGCACAAGCGGUGGAGCAUGUGGUUUAAUUCGAUGCAACGCGAAGAACCUUACCUGGGCUUGAACUGAAGUGGCUCGCCACCGAAAGGUGGUUUUUCCUUCGGGAACUGCUUCAGAGGUGCUGCAUGGCUGUCGUCAGCUCGUGCCGUGAGGUGUUGGGUUAAGUCCCGCAACGAGCGCAACCCUUGCCCUUAGUUGCCAUCAGGUUAUGCUGGGAACUCUAAGGGGACUGCCCCGGAUAACGGGGAGGAAGGUGGGGAUGACGUCAAGUCCUCAUGGCCCUUACGUCCAGGGCUACACACGUGCUACAAUGGCUGGUACAACGGGAAGCGAUAUCGCGAGAUGGAGCAAAUCCUUAAAAACCGGUCUCAGUUCGGAUUGCAGUCUGCAACUCGACUGCAUGAAGUUGGAAUCGCUAGUAAUCGCGGAUCAGCAUGCCG